This 1203-nucleotide ribosomal RNA is filed under the name Lactiplantibacillus plantarum. Its description in RNAcentral is "bacterial SSU rRNA". It matches the Rfam family "Bacterial small subunit ribosomal RNA", at positions 36 to 1216 of the family's 1533-position model. Lineage: Bacteria; Bacillati; Bacillota; Bacilli; Lactobacillales; Lactobacillaceae. The record is from RNAcentral.
CGGGAGGCGGGGUGCUAUACAUGCAGUCGAACGAACUCUGGUAUUGAUUGGUGCUUGCAUCAUGAUUUACAUUUGAGUGAGUGGCGAACUGGUGAGUAACACGUGGGAAACCUGCCCAGAAGCGGGGGAUAACACCUGGAAACAGAUGCUAAUACCGCAUAACAACUUGGACCGCAUGGUCCGAGUUUGAAAGAUGGCUUCGGCUAUCACUUUUGGAUGGUCCCGCGGCGUAUUAGCUAGAUGGUGGGGUAACGGCUCACCAUGGCAAUGAUACGUAGCCGACCUGAGAGGGUAAUCGGCCACAUUGGGACUGAGACACGGCCCAAACUCCUACGGGAGGCAGCAGUAGGGAAUCUUCCACAAUGGACGAAAGUCUGAUGGAGCAACGCCGCGUGAGUGAAGAAGGGUUUCGGCUCGUAAAACUCUGUUGUUAAAGAAGAACAUAUCUGAGAGUAACUGUUCAGGUAUUGACGGUAUUUAACCAGAAAGCCACGGCUAACUACGUGCCAGCAGCCGCGGUAAUACGUAGGUGGCAAGCGUUGUCCGGAUUUAUUGGGCGUAAAGCGAGCGCAGGCGGUUUUUUAAGUCUGAUGUGAAAGCCUUCGGCUCAACCGAAGAAGUGCAUCGGAAACUGGGAAACUUGAGUGCAGAAGAGGACAGUGGAACUCCAUGUGUAGCGGUGAAAUGCGUAGAUAUAUGGAAGAACACCAGUGGCGAAGGCGGCUGUCUGGUCUGUAACUGACGCUGAGGCUCGAAAGUAUGGGUAGCAAACAGGAUUAGAUACCCUGGUAGUCCAUACCGUAAACGAUGAAUGCUAAGUGUUGGAGGGUUUCCGCCCUUCAGUGCUGCAGCUAACGCAUUAAGCAUUCCGCCUGGGGAGUACGGCCGCAAGGCUGAAACUCAAAGGAAUUGACGGGGGCCCGCACAAGCGGUGGAGCAUGUGGUUUAAUUCGAAGCUACGCGAAGAACCUUACCAGGUCUUGACAUACUAUGCAAAUCUAAGAGAUAGACGUUCCCUUCGGGGACAUGGAUACAGUGGUGCAUGGUGUCGUCAGCUCGUGUCGUGAGAUGUUGGGUAGUCCGCACGAGCGCACCCUUAUUAUCAGUGCAGCAUAAGUUGGGCCCUCUGGUGAGACUGCCGGUGACAACCGGAAGAAGGUGGGGAUGACGGUCAAUCAUCAUGCCCCUUUAGAACCUGGGCUA